RNAcentral lists this ribosomal RNA (468 nucleotides) under uncultured bacterium. RNAcentral describes it as "partial 16S ribosomal RNA". It matches the Rfam family "Bacterial small subunit ribosomal RNA", at positions 28 to 507 of the family's 1533-position model. The record is from RNAcentral.
GACGAACGCUGGCGGCGUGCUUAACACAUGCAAGUCGAACGGAAAGGCCCUGCUUUUGUGGGGUGCUCGAGUGGCGAACGGGUGAGUAACACGUGAGUAACCUGCCCUUGACUUUGGGAUAACUUCAGGAAACUGGGACUAAUACCGGAUAGGAGCUCCUGCUGCAUGGUGGGGGUUGGAAAGUUUCGGCGGUUGGGGAUGGACUCGCGGCUUAUCAGCUUGUUGGUGGGGUAGUGGCUUACCAAGGCUUUGACGGGUAGCCGGCCUGAGAGGGUGACCGGCCACAUUGGGACUGAGAUACGGCCCAGACUCCUACGGGAGGCAGCAGUGGGGAAUAUUGCACAAUGGGCGGAAGCCUGAUGCAGCAACGCCGCGUGCGGGAUGACGGCCUUCGGGUUGUAAACCGCUUUCGCCUGUGACGAAGAGUGAGUGACGGUAAUGGGUAAAGAAGCACCGGCUAACUACGUG